GCUUGUCUCAAAGAUUAAGCCAUGCAUGUCUAAGUAUAAAUGAUUUUAUAUUUGAAACUGCGAAUGGCUCAUUAUAUCAGUUAUAGUUUAUUUGAUGGUCCUUACUACUUGGAUAACCGUAGUAAUUCUAGAGCUAAUACAUGCAUCAAUCCCCGACCUCUGGAAGGGGUGUAUUUAUUAGAUGGAAACCAAUGCGGGGCAACCCGGAAUAUGGUGAAUCAUAAUAACUGUCGUAUCGAGCAAUCGAAGCGCCAUACAAGUUUCUGCCCUAUCAGCUUUGGAUGGUAGGGUAUUGGCCUACCAUGGCUUUAACGGGUAACGGAGAAUUAGGGUUCGAUUCCGGAGAGGGAGCCUGAGAAAUGGCUACCACAUCCAAGGAAGGCAGCAGG
This 389-nucleotide ribosomal RNA is filed under the name Ochromonas tuberculata. RNAcentral's name for it is "partial small subunit ribosomal RNA". It matches the Rfam family "Eukaryotic small subunit ribosomal RNA", at positions 30 to 432 of the family's 1831-position model. Lineage: Eukaryota; Chrysophyceae; Chromulinales; Chromulinaceae. The record is from RNAcentral.